This is a long non-coding RNA of Mycetomoellerius zeteki, 158 nucleotides long. RefSeq lists it as uncharacterized. The record is from RefSeq and is a predicted model, not a curated record. The transcript has 4 exons. Lineage: Eukaryota; Metazoa; Arthropoda; Insecta; Hymenoptera; Formicidae.
UCUAUUUCGAUAUUUUCAAUAUUCCUUUCUCUUUUCUUUUUCUUUUAUUCUUAUUUGAGUUUAAUUUCUGGCAUUUAAAUUCUCGAUGUAGGGGAGCUCACCAUGACAAGAUAACUUUUAUUCAUAGUUUAUAUAUAAGGUUGGCAAAUAUCUCCCUU